CAGCAGCCACGGUAAUACGUAGGGUGCGAGCGUUAAUCGGAAUUACUGGGCGUAAAGCGUGCGCAGGCGGUGAUGUAAGACAGAUGUGAAAUCCCCGGGCUCAACCUGGGAACUGCAUUAGUGACUGCAUCGCUGGAGUGCGGCAGAGGGGGAUGGAAUUCCGCGUGUAGCAGUGAAAUGCGUAGAUAUGCGGAGGAACACCGAUGGCGAAGGCAAUCCCCUGGGCCUGCACUGACGCUCAUGCACGAAAGCGUGGGGAGCAAACAGGAUUAGAUACCCCCGUAGUCCCUGUCUCUUAUAC
RNAcentral lists this ribosomal RNA (301 nucleotides) under uncultured bacterium. RNAcentral's name for it is "partial 16S ribosomal RNA". It matches the Rfam family "Bacterial small subunit ribosomal RNA", at positions 509 to 807 of the family's 1533-position model. The record is from RNAcentral.